GGCGAACGGGUGAGUAACGCGUACGCAAUCUACCUAUAACUGAGGAAUAGCCCCGGGAAACUGGGAUUAAUACCUUAUAAUAUUCUGAUUAGGCAUCUUUUUGGAAUUAAAACUCCGGUGGUUAUAGAUGAGCGUGCGUCCCAUUAGCUUGUUGGUAAGGUAACGGCUUACCAAGGCAACGAUGGGUAGCUGGCGUGAGAGCGCGAUCAGUCACACGGGCACUGAGACACGGGCCCG
Molecule: ribosomal RNA, 237 nt
Filed under: uncultured bacterium
Lineage: Bacteria
Description: partial 16S ribosomal RNA
Rfam family: Bacterial small subunit ribosomal RNA
Source: RNAcentral